AGUGAACGCUGGCGGUAGGCCUAACACAUGCAAGUCGAACGGCAGCACAGUAAGAGCUUGCUCUUACGGGUGGCGAGUGGCGGACGGGUGGGGAAUACAUCGGAAUCUACUUUUUCGUGGGGGAUAACGUAGGGAAACUUACGCUAAUACCGCAUACGAACUACGGGUGAAAGCAGGGGAUCUUCGGACCUUGCGCGAUUGAAUGAGCCGAUGUCGGAUUAGCUAGUUGGCGGGGUAAAGGCCCACCAAGGCGACGAUCCGUAGCUGGUCUGAGAGGAUGAUAAGCCACACUGGAGCUGGGACACGGUCCAGACUCCUACGGGAGGCAGCAGUGGGGAAUAUUGGACAAUGGGCGCAAACCUUAUCCAGCCAUACCGCGUGGGUGAAGAAGGCCUUCGGGUUGUAAAGCCCUUUUGUUGGGAAAGAAAAGCAGUAGGUUAAUACCACGCUGUUCUGACGGUACCCAAAGAAUAAGCACCGGCUAACUUCGUG
RNAcentral lists this ribosomal RNA (492 nucleotides) under uncultured bacterium. RNAcentral describes it as "partial 16S ribosomal RNA". It matches the Rfam family "Bacterial small subunit ribosomal RNA", at positions 29 to 507 of the family's 1533-position model. The record is from RNAcentral.